RNAcentral lists this transfer RNA (84 nucleotides) under Daphnia pulex (common water flea). It matches the Rfam family "tRNA". From Rfam's summary of the family: Transfer RNA (tRNA) molecules are approximately 80 nucleotides in length. Their secondary structure includes four short double-helical elements and three loops (D, anti-codon, and T loops). Further hydrogen bonds mediate the characteristic L-shaped molecular structure. tRNAs have two regions of fundamental functional importance: the anti-codon, which is responsible for specific mRNA codon recognition, and the 3' end, to which the tRNAs corresponding amino acid is attached (by aminoacyl-tRNA synthetases). tRNAs cope with the degeneracy of the genetic code in two manners: having more than one tRNA (with a specific anti-codon) for a particular amino acid; and 'wobble' base-pairing, i.e. permitting non-standard base-pairing at the 3rd anti-codon position. The record is from Rfam by way of RNAcentral. Lineage: Eukaryota; Metazoa; Arthropoda; Branchiopoda; Diplostraca; Daphniidae.
GCCGUGAUAGUCUAGUGGUUAGGACCUUGCGUUGUGGAUCGGUGCGAAACCGCAAUAACCCCGGUUCGAAUCCGGGUCACGGCA